AUGAAGUCGGAAUUGCUAGUAAUCGCGGAUCAGCAUGCCGCGGUGAAUACGUUCCCGGGCCUUGUACACACCGCCCGUCACACCAUGGGAGUCGGUAACACCGAAGCCGAUAGUCUAACGAAAGAGGACGUCGCCGAAGGUGGGAUUGAUGACUGGGGUGAAGUCGUAACAAGGUACC
RNAcentral lists this ribosomal RNA (178 nucleotides) under uncultured bacterium. RNAcentral's name for it is "partial 16S ribosomal RNA". It matches the Rfam family "Bacterial small subunit ribosomal RNA", at positions 1320 to 1500 of the family's 1533-position model. The record is from RNAcentral.